ACUCCUACGGGAGGCAGCAGUGGGGAAUUUUGGACAAUGGGCGCAAGCCUGAUCCAGCCAUGCCGCGUGAGUGAAGAAGGCCUUCGGGUUGUAAAGCUCUUUCGGCCGGGAAGAAAUCGCAUUCUCUAAUAUAGGAUGUGGAUGACGGUACCGGACUAAGAAGCACCGGCUAACUACGUGCCAGCAGCCGCGGUAAU
Molecule: ribosomal RNA, 197 nt
Filed under: uncultured bacterium
Lineage: Bacteria
Description: partial 16S ribosomal RNA
Rfam family: Bacterial small subunit ribosomal RNA
Source: RNAcentral